RNAcentral lists this ribosomal RNA (425 nucleotides) under uncultured bacterium. RNAcentral's name for it is "partial 16S ribosomal RNA". It matches the Rfam family "Bacterial small subunit ribosomal RNA", at positions 354 to 796 of the family's 1533-position model. The record is from RNAcentral.
GUGGGGAAUAUUGGGCAAUGGGGGAAACCCUGACCCAGCAACGCCGCGUGAAGGAAGAAGGUUUUCGGAUCGUAAACUUCUAUCCUUGGUGAAGAUAAUGACGGUAGCCAAGAAGGAAGCCCCGGCUAACUACGUGCCAGCAGCCGCGGUAAUACGUAGGGGGCAAGCGUUGUCCGGAAUGAUUGGGCGUAAAGGGCGCGUAGGCGGCCUGGUAAGUCUGGAGUGAAAGUCCUGCUUUUAAGGUGGGAAUUGCUUUGGAUACUGUCGGACUUGAGUGCAGGAGAGGUAAGCGGAAUUCCCGGUGUAGCGGUGAAAUGCGUAGAGAUCGGGAGGAACACCAGUGGCGAAGGCGGCUUACUGGACUGUAACUGACGCUGAGGCGCGAAAGUGUGGGGAGCAAACAGGAUUAGAUACCCCUGUAGUCC